AUUGAACGCUGGCGGCAGGCUUAACACAUGCAAGUCGAGCGGAGCGGCGGACGGGUGAGUAAUGCCUAGGAAUCUGCCUGGUAGUGGGGGAUAACGUCCGGAAACGGGCGAUAAUACCGCAUACUAUCAGAUGAGCCUAGGUCGGAUGAGCUAGUUGGUGGGGUAAAGGCCUACCAAGGCGACGAUCCGUAACUGGUCUGAGAGGAUGAUCAGUCACACGGGAACUGAGACACGGUCCAGACUCCUACGGGGGGCAGCAGUGGGGAAUAUUGGACAAUGGGCGAAAGCCUGAUCCAGCCAGGCCGCGUGUGUGAAGAAGGUCUUCGGAUUGUAAAGCACGUUAAGUUGGGAGGCGUUACCCGCAGAAGAAGCACCGGCUAACUCCGUGCCAGCAGCCGCGGUAAUAC
This 407-nucleotide ribosomal RNA is filed under the name uncultured bacterium. RNAcentral's name for it is "partial 16S ribosomal RNA". It matches the Rfam family "Bacterial small subunit ribosomal RNA", at positions 30 to 526 of the family's 1533-position model. The record is from RNAcentral.